CCAGCAGUAGUUCAGUUGGUAGAACACUUCAUUUGGGAUGAGGGGUCGAGCGUUCAAGCUGUUCCUGUUGGACCA
RNAcentral lists this transfer RNA (75 nucleotides) under Caudoviricetes sp. RNAcentral describes it as "tRNA-Pro". It matches the Rfam family "tRNA". From Rfam's summary of the family: Transfer RNA (tRNA) molecules are approximately 80 nucleotides in length. Their secondary structure includes four short double-helical elements and three loops (D, anti-codon, and T loops). Further hydrogen bonds mediate the characteristic L-shaped molecular structure. tRNAs have two regions of fundamental functional importance: the anti-codon, which is responsible for specific mRNA codon recognition, and the 3' end, to which the tRNAs corresponding amino acid is attached (by aminoacyl-tRNA synthetases). tRNAs cope with the degeneracy of the genetic code in two manners: having more than one tRNA (with a specific anti-codon) for a particular amino acid; and 'wobble' base-pairing, i.e. permitting non-standard base-pairing at the 3rd anti-codon position. Lineage: Duplodnaviria; Heunggongvirae; Uroviricota; Caudoviricetes. The record is from RNAcentral.